GGUCGAGUCGGCCUGCGCGGAAGAUGUAACGGGGCUAAACCAUGCACCGAAGCUGCGGCAGCGAACGUAUCACCCAAGACAACUUUACGGAGUUGACGAUUGACGGAGCGAAGCGACGUCAAAGCGUUCAUUAAAGUCGAGUUGGCUUAGGGAUACGUUCGUUGGGUAGGGGAGCGUUCUGUAAGCCUGUGAAGGUGUGUCGUGAGGCAUGCUGGAGGUAUCAGAAGUGCGAAUGCUGACAUAAGUAACGAUAAAGCGGGUGAAAAGCCCGCUCGCCGGAAGACCAAGGGUUCCUGUCCAACGUUAAUCGGGGCAGGGUGAGUCGACCCCUAAGGCGAGGCCGAAAGGCGUAGUCGAUGGGAAACGGGUUAAUAUUCCCGUACUUGGUGUUACUGCGAAGGGGGGACGGAGAAGGCUAUGUUGGCCGGGCGACGGUUGUCCCGGUUUAAGCGUGUAGGUGUGUGUUCCAGGUAAAUCCGGUUCACUUUAACACUGAGGCGUGACGACGAGGCACUACGGUGCUGAAGCAACAAAUGCCCUGCUUCCAGGAAAAGCCUCUAAGCAUCAGGUAACAUCAAAUCGUACCCCAAACCGACACAGGUGGUCAGGUAGAGAAUACCAAGGCGCUUGAGAGAACUCGGGUGAAGGAACUAGGCAAAAUGGUGCCGUAACUUCGGGAGAAGGCACGCUGACACGUAGGUGAAGUGAUUUACUCAUGGAGCUGAAGUCAGUCGAAGAUACCAGCUGGCUGCAACUGUUUAUUAAAAACACAGCACUGUGCAAACACGAAAGUGGACGUAUACGGUGUGACGCCUGCCCGGUGCCGGAAGGUUAAUUGAUGGGGUCAGCGCAAGCGAAGCUCCUGAUCGAAGCCCCGGUAAACGGCGGCCGUAACUAUAACGGUCCUAAGGUAGCGAAAUUCCUUGUCGGGUAAGUUCCGACCUGCACGAAUGGCGUAAUGAUGGCCAGGCUGUCUCCACCCGAGACUCAGUGAAAUUGAACUCGCUGUGAAGAUGCAGUGUACCCGCGGCAAGACGGAAAGACCCCGUGAACCUUUACUAUAGCUUGACACUGAACAUUGAGCCUUGAUGUGUAGGAUAGG
Molecule: ribosomal RNA, 1102 nt
Filed under: Salmonella enterica subsp. enterica serovar Typhimurium
Lineage: Bacteria; Pseudomonadati; Pseudomonadota; Gammaproteobacteria; Enterobacterales; Enterobacteriaceae
Description: partial 23S ribosomal RNA
Rfam family: Bacterial large subunit ribosomal RNA
Source: RNAcentral